AAAAAGUUUAAAAAAUAUUUUUUUCCAAUCCCUCCUAUUUUUGGUGUGCUGCUAUGUUAAAUCCAACUAUGAAAUUAGGAGGUCCUCACUUUUGGUAUUCUACUAUUUAUCAAUAUUUAGAUCUUUCAGAAGUAGAAAUGGCUACACUAGCUGAUGCGAAAGCAUCAAUUAAAGUGAAUGCUCAAACUGUUUAUAAUGCUUAUAAACAGGCG
Molecule: long non-coding RNA, 212 nt
Filed under: Nicotiana benthamiana
Lineage: Eukaryota; Viridiplantae; Streptophyta; Magnoliopsida; Solanales; Solanaceae
Description: long non-coding RNA (NBEN_LNC029357)
Source: RNAcentral